This 797-nucleotide ribosomal RNA is filed under the name uncultured Aquificales bacterium. Its description in RNAcentral is "bacterial SSU rRNA". It matches the Rfam family "Bacterial small subunit ribosomal RNA", at positions 33 to 837 of the family's 1533-position model. The record is from RNAcentral. Lineage: Bacteria; Pseudomonadati; Aquificota; Aquificia; Aquificales.
ACGUUAGCGGGAGGCUAACACAUGCAAGUCGAACGAGGCUUGCUUGGUCUUCGGACUGAGUAAGCCUAGUGGCAAACGGGCGAGUAACACGUGCCUAACCUGCCCUGGAGAGGGGGAUAACUGGGGAAACCCAGCUAAUCCGCCAUACGCUCUAUAGGGUGAGAGUCCUUAUAGAGGAAAGGCGUAAGCCGCUCUAGGAGGGGGGCGCGGCGCAACAGCUAGUUGGUGAGGUAACGGCUCACCAAGGCUAUGACGCGUAGCCGGCCUGAGAGGGUGACCGGCCGCAAUGGGACUGAGACACGGCCCAUACUCCUACGGGAGGCAGCAGUGAGGAAUCUUGGACAAUGGGCGCAAGCCUGAUCCAGCCAUCCCGCGUGGAGGAAGAAGCCCUUUGGGGUGUAAACUCCUUUUCUGGGGGAAGACGACUGACGGUACCCCAGGAAUAAGGGGCGGCUAACUACGUGCCAGCAGCCGCGGUAAUACGUAGGCCCCAAACGUUAUCCGGAGUUACUGGGCGUAAAGGGUCCGUAGCCGGAUAAGUAAGUCUACCUUCAAAGACUGGAGCUCAACUCCAGUAAGGGGGUAGAUACUGCUUAUCUAGAGAUGUCAGGGGGUUAGUGGAAUUCCCGGUGGAGCGGUGGAAUGCGUUGAUAUCGGGAAGAACGCCGAAAGUGGAGACAGCUAACUACUGACAAUCUGACGGUGAGGGGACGAAAGCGUAGGUAGCAAACAGGAUUAGAUACCCUGGUAGUCUACGCUUGUAAACGAUGUGAGUUAGGCGUUGGGCCGCUAGGUCA